UCAUCAUCUCCACUACUAGCAACUUCAGUGUAAGACUGACAAGUGGACUGAGUUGAAGGUGAAUCCUGGUCCUCGAAACUGAUUUGCUUUGUGGCAUGCAUAUGUUCAGUCCUUGCAUCCACCACCUUCAGGCUUAGGGGUUCAGUUGAAAUCAUACCACCCCAUGAGAUGCUAGUGUUCAGGUAUGGCAAAGUGGAACCUUUCUUACUCAUCUGAUGCCUAACGUCAAUCAAGCUAUUCACACAAGAAUGAUGAAGAAGACCUACAUAAAUAAAAAAAGAUAUAAAAGAGAGACUUAAAAGUUUCUAAAUUGAUAUACUUCCACCCACAUAAGAAGUCAUAUCUAAACGAACUCUGAUUCGACAGUACUAUCUUGAGUAAAACCAAAUCGAGACGAUUGGCCGAAAUUAGAAAUUUUCCGACCAAGAAACAAAACACAAAACACAAGUCAUCACUUUUGGCAAAAAGGGCGUUGACUUGAGAUGAAAGGAUUACCAAAUCAGUAAAACAACAUCAAUCUCACGCCACAAGACAGAUACAACGAAAAGGGGAAAACUUUGACAGAGAGAUUAAACACCAAAGCUUUUCGAACAAGAAGACAACAGAUACAGAGGGAGAUUGAUAGAAGACCAGGAAACCUUUUUGAGUAUUAGAUGAAACGACGAUGAAGAAAGGACACAGACUUAGUUUUGAAUUAAUUCAUGAAACCAUUUGGGGUAAUCUGGAUCGUUAUAAUCAACCUGCUAAAAUUAAUUAAUCAUAAAUUUCGACGCAAACUAGACUUAAAAUAUUUUUUCGUAAAUUCCUCUUUAUAUUUAUGUCUACUUUACGACGAAAUCUUGUUUUCUCGUAAAAACCACGUUAAAUUGCGUUGUUUUUACGACGAAACUUUAUUGUCGUUAUUUUACGACGAAAUUACGCUGAUUUGUUUUUUCCUCGUAAGGUUCUCGUAAAUAAGACAUACAUUUACGAGGACUUAUUUUCCUCGUUACAUUUCGUCGCUAAUUUUGUGUUUUCUUGUAGUGGUGCUUUCCGCAAUACAAGGGAGCGUGCCUGGCGUUUCUGCUACUGGGCAAGUAGUGUUACGAAGUUUCCAUUCCCCAGCCACAACAACAUAAAUAAUACUCGGUAAUCUAAUCUUAUCUUCUUCUUUAUUGCUUCAUUGUGAUCAUUUAUUAUCUUGUGCUCAACUUAUGCUAUGUUAGUCUUUUCCCCUUAAUGCUUUAGUAUAUUUUUUGCACUCAGAUUGAGUAGUUUCUGAUUCUUUCUUCACAGCCAUCAACAUGAAGAUGAUGCUGGUAUAGGCACUCCUUUGGAACCGCCAGAGGAUAAAAGCAUCACAGCACUUGCCAUCCGUGGAUUUAUUAAAAACACGAUGAGAAUCCUCGAGCACGGCAUAAUAGACAAAUUUGCUGCUUAUGGCGUGAUCAAAUCUGUCAGCUUCUUUGCCUGGGAAAGCCGUGCCCUAGACACAUUCACCACCCGAGAAGGAGCAGAGAUGGCCUUUCAAGCGCUCUCCAAGUUCCUAUUCAUCUACGAUCAGAGGCUAAAACUUGCAUGGGCAACUCCUCUGGAGGUUGGUGGUUCGAGCACCACUGAGAACAACGAUGCUUCUUCAAAUAUACCAAUCAUCUGCCAAUACUGCCGAGCGGUAAUUGUUAUUUAUUUAUUUAUUUUUUGUGUGUUUCCAAUAGCUCACUUUAUCCAAUUCUGGUUGUUAUUAUUAUAUGCAGACCGCAGCUGCAGUUGAGAAUGAAUCUGAUACCAGCCAGAUGCUUCACAGACUUUCAAUGCUCAAGCAUUAUCAGUCUCCAUCCUGGCAUGUGAAUCAGAACACCAAUGCUCUGUAAGCUAUUCUGAUCUGUAUUGCUUUGGUCGAGUAUUGGACAGACGGUGAGAAACUUGGUUAGGGAAGGUGGUUGGACAGCUUGUUAUAGAGGAUUGCGACCAAAAUGUGCUUCAAUGUCAAUGUCUGCAACUACUAUGGGUCUAACUGGUGACCAACGAAUGAAAGUAAAUAACGCAUUUCUUGCUAUUCUUAAUUUUUUUUACCAUUUAUUAAGAAUAAUUUUUCUGUUUCAUUUUUUUUAUUCUAGAAGAAUAUAAAAUAAAUUUGUUUCUUACUAGUAUUGAUCUUUUUCAUUCUUUUAUUCUAGAGGAAUAUAGAAUAAAUUUGUUUCUUACUAGUAUUGAUAAGUAAUAAUUUUCUUUUACAUUCUUAUAAUUUUAUUCUUCUGCAUUUUUUUUCACUAUUCAUUUCUAAUGUUAUUCUUUAUGAUUACUACCUACGAGUUCUUGAAACGGCUUUCGGCUAAGAACCAUGACGGGUUUUGCUCUAAAUCAUAGUGUUGACAGCUCAGAGAAACCACAUGGAAGAAUCUUUGUUGAAAUGUCUUUUAUUUUUCUUACCGAUCUUUGUUAUUUGUUUAGCUGUUCUGCUCUUUCCUUUGCUUCCAGUCAUAUUGUAAGGAAUGUGUUCAAAGUCGGUUGUUAAGAAAUGUUCAUUCCUCCCUCAUUUGCUUGGAUCGGUUCUCCAUAACCGUGCUAUUAAACCGGUAUGAUAAAUGAUGACUUGUAAGACUUUGUUGGACAAGACUUGAUUUGGCAAUAUGUUAUAAUCAGCAAGUCAUGAAUCACUUUUGGAAAGUGAUUUACAGGUUUGAUUGUGUCUUUAAUUAAUUGAAAAUGCUGUCUUUUGUUUUUAUGUAUGAUCAUUGUUAGUGUUUCAGGAACACAAGUUUGUAUCUGUCACAUAACUACAAAAGUCAACUAUUGAGGAGCAGAAUCUUAGGGCAUAGCGGCUCGUCUCUAGUCACGUCUCUCACGUUAAAAUAAUAGUUAGAAAUAAGAAACAGUGAAAAUUAGAGGAGAAAGGCGAAGGAUCGAUUGGUUUUGGAGAGACGUGCGUUUCUUAUAAGAAACCAAAUAACACAGCUGUUAACUUUUAAGUGGAUAAUACCUUUAACCAGCUAAACUAUGUUUUAAGAGAAUUGAGUUUCUUACCGAUGCUGGGUUUCUUCUUACCUUAUUCAAAUAAAUUUAUAGGAAAUAAUUGGUAACAGAUGGCUUUGAUAUUUUUAUUCAUGAACAUGUCCAAGAUAUGGUAAUAUUUUCAAGUAUUUUUAAGUGUGUGAUGACAUCUUCUCAAACUGAUAAGUGAGACUCAAAAGUAGAAUCUUUCAACCUCUUUUCUUAAUUCAAGUUUACAGAAAAAACAAAUAAUUUUAUACUAUAUAAACUACAAGAUUCUUCAUUAAAUGUAUAUCAAACAUUGUCAACUAGAUUGUAAGAUAUUCAGAAAUGUAUCUUACACGUCCAUGGAGUGGAAUGCAGAAUCUGUUUUAUUUAUUUAUCAUGUUCAUACAGAAUCAAAGCACUAGUUUACACAAGAGAUAGUAAGAGAAGAUUAAAAGUGUUUUCAAACUGAAGAUUUUGGUAGUUCUUGUUCUUGUUGUGAUAUUUUAACACACAUAAAGUGAAAUUGAAACAUAAAAAAGUAACAACAAGCAAGAGAACUAGUAGUAGUAGCCAAGGAUGACUUCCCCUUUAGGUGGGAAACAUUGAAACAACACCAAAAGAUCCAAUGUCUCAGAUAUGGACAGAGAAAUGGUGCAAGUCCCCACCUCCAUGCAUGUCAUUGGACUGACCAUGAACAAGUAUAGCUCGGUUAGUCUGUGUUGGGAUUGGGAAACCUGAAAACUGGAAUUCAGUGUGUCCGAAGAUAUCAGCACCGUCGGAAACACAUGUAACGUCAGAGCCAGAAGUGGUUGAUCCGCCACGGUCUUUGUUGUGCUGCAGCACAUGAGCUUUGAAUCUAGACAAGUUUGCCUGUUGGACCGACUUGUCAUGUUCUUGUUCUUUGGCAGCAGCCUGCUCGGAUUCUUGAAGAAGUUUUUUGGUGUUGAGGAAUCUUCCACCGGAUCCUCUUGGCCUUUUAAGAGCAUGGACAUGUCGUGAUUCAUGAAGAUACGGCUGUUGCAAUAAAGAAAAACAGAGAUGAGCAUAGCAUUAUAGAUGAGAAGCUUUUGUUGGUGCUUAUUAUACCUUUCUUGCUUUGAUUAGUUUGUUCUGAGCCUCAAGCUUGGCACGUUGCUGCCUCCUCCUCAUGAUUGCAUGGUAUUGCUUCGCAUUGACAAAGACUGGCUCAGCUUCAGUGAUCUCCACUGGUAGUGCAACUCUACCAGGAACCAUACCCACCAUUUGGGGAUUGCAUGUCUGCAAAAGAGAUAAAGAGACUUAUGAUCACUGCAACGCAUGGCAGACGAAGAAAGUAUACUAAAGAAAGGUCUUACUAACCGGUGCAUGUGGAAGAUAAGGUGUAGCUAACAAACCACCAUAAUGUGGAUCAGCAUAGUGAAAUGAGAAAUUAGUCUGCACCAUGUAUGAUAUAAGGUAUCAGUCCACCAUUAGAUGAUUGCUUUUAUUACAAAUUAAAAGUUUACAAGUACCUGCGGAGGAGCAAAGUGCAUGUUCGGGAAUGAUGUCAUUGCGCAUGGUUUAGUAUGAGUCGCAGAUACCUUCCGCUGAGUUUCUUCAGAUCCUAGACAAGAAAAUGAGAGAGAUGAUAACAUUCUUUAUAGCAAAAUGAUUGAUUCUCUUGUGAAUAACAUACGUAUUGAACAUAUACCAACACUCUAAUAUCUGAUAAGCAAACAAGAUCAAGCCAAAACAUCAAGCAAGAGUCUUUAACAUAGAAGAUUACACAAACCGAGUAGAAACUGACCUGAUUUGGUUGAAAAGGAGAUUUGUCUGCAAGAUUUAUCAUCUCCACUACUAGCAACUUCAGUGUAAGACUGACAAGUGGACUGAGUUGAAGGUGAAUCCUGGUCCUGGAAACUGAUUUGCUUUGUGGCAUGCAUAUGUUCAGGCCUUGCAUCAACCACCUUCAGGCUUAGGGGUUCAGUUGAAAUCAUACCACCCCAUGAGAUGCUAGUGUUCAGGUAUGGCAAAGUGGAACCUUUCUUACUCAUCUGAUGCCUAACGUUAAUCAAGCUAUUCACACAAGAAUGAUGAAGAAGACCU
This 5022-nucleotide long non-coding RNA is filed under the name Brassica napus (rape). RNAcentral's name for it is "long non-coding RNA (BNAP_LNC019272)". The record is from RNAcentral. Lineage: Eukaryota; Viridiplantae; Streptophyta; Magnoliopsida; Brassicales; Brassicaceae.